GGGGAUGUAGUUAAAAAUAACAUCUAAUUUGCAAUUAGAAAGUACUAUCUUAAGUCUUCCUCA
Molecule: transfer RNA, 63 nt
Filed under: Triatoma phyllosoma
Lineage: Eukaryota; Metazoa; Arthropoda; Insecta; Hemiptera; Reduviidae
Also listed under: 1 other name
Description: tRNA-Ala
Rfam family: tRNA
About the family: Transfer RNA (tRNA) molecules are approximately 80 nucleotides in length.
Source: RNAcentral